Molecule: long non-coding RNA, 166 nt
Organism: Salvelinus fontinalis (brook trout)
Lineage: Eukaryota; Metazoa; Chordata; Actinopteri; Salmoniformes; Salmonidae
Exons: 3
Source: RefSeq, a predicted model, not a curated record
ACUAGAGGUUACCUGUUAGAACUGAUGCUGUUGAAACUAGAGGUUACCUGUUGAAACUAGAGGUUACCUGUUGAAACUAGAGGUUACCUGUUGAAACUAGAGGUUACCUGUUGAAACUAGAGGUUACCUGUUAGAACUGAUGCUGUUGAAACUAGAGGUUACCUGU